GACGAACGCUGGCGGCGUGCCUAAUACAUGCAAGUUGAGCGCUGAAGGUUGGUCCUUGUACCAACUGGAUGAGCAGCGCACGGGUGAGUAACGCGUGGGGAAUCUGCCUUUGAGCGGGGGACAACAUUUGGAAACGAAUGCUAAUACCGCAUAAAAACUUUAAACACAAGUUUUAAGUUUGAAAGAUGCAAUUGCAUCACUCAAAGAUGAUCCCGCGUUGUAUUAGCUAGUUGGUGAGGUAAAGGCUCACCAAGGCGAUGAUACAUAGCCGACCUGAGAGGGUGAUCGGCCACAUUGGGACUGAGACACGGCCCAAACGCCUACGGGAGGCAGCAGUAGGGAAUCGGCGGCAAUGGACGAAAGUCUGACCGAGAAACGCGGCGUGAGGGAAGAGGGAUGUCGGAUCGGAAAACUCUGUUGGUAGGGAAGAACGUUGGUGAGAGUGGAAAGCUCAUCAAGUGACGGUAACUACCCAGAAAGCGACGGCUAACUACGUG
This 497-nucleotide ribosomal RNA is filed under the name uncultured bacterium. Its description in RNAcentral is "partial 16S ribosomal RNA". It matches the Rfam family "Bacterial small subunit ribosomal RNA", at positions 28 to 507 of the family's 1533-position model. The record is from RNAcentral.